UGGGGAAUUUUGGACAAUGGGGGAAACCCUGAUCCAGCCAUCCCGCGUGUGCGAUGAAGGCCUUCGGGUUGUAAAGCACUUUUGGCAGGAAAGAAACGUCGUGGGUUAAUACCCCGCGAAACUGACGGUACCUGCAGAAUAAGCACCGGCUAACUACGUGCCAGCAGCCGCGGUAAUACGUAGGGUGCAAGCGUUAAUCGGAAUUACUGGGCGUAAAGCGUGCGCAGGCGGUUCGGAAAGAAAGAUGUGAAAUCCCAGAGCUUAACUUUGGAACUGCAUUUUUAACUACCGGGCUAGAGUGUGUCAGAGGGAGGUGGAAUUCCGCGUGUAGCAGUGAAAUGCGUAGAUAUGCGGAGGAACACCGAUGGCGAAGGCGGCCUCCUGGGGAUAACACUGACGCUCAUGCACGAAAGCGUGGGGAGCAAACAGGAUUAGAUACCCUGGUAGUCCACGCCCUAAACGAUGUCAACUAGCUGUUGGGGUCUUCGGACCUUGGUAGCGCAGCUAACGCGUGAAGUUGACCGCCUGGGGGAGUACGGUCGCAAGAUUAAAAACUU
This 557-nucleotide ribosomal RNA is filed under the name uncultured bacterium. Its description in RNAcentral is "partial 16S ribosomal RNA". It matches the Rfam family "Bacterial small subunit ribosomal RNA", at positions 355 to 902 of the family's 1533-position model. The record is from RNAcentral.